RNAcentral lists this ribosomal RNA (250 nucleotides) under uncultured prokaryote. RNAcentral describes it as "partial 16S ribosomal RNA". It matches the Rfam family "Bacterial small subunit ribosomal RNA", at positions 524 to 773 of the family's 1533-position model. The record is from RNAcentral.
UACGUAGGGGGCGAGCGUUGUCCGGAAUUACUGGGCGUAAAGGGUGUGUAGGUGGUCGAUUAAGUUGGAUGUGAAAUCCCCGGGCUUAACCUGGGGCCUGCAUCUAAAACUGAUUGACUAGAGUGCAGGAGAGGAAAGUAGAAUUCCUAGUGUAGCGGUGAAAUGCGUAGAUAUUAGGAGGAAUACCGGUGGCGAAGGCGACUUUCUGGACUGUAACUGACACUGAGACACGAAAGCGUGGGGAGCAAAC